UUUCCGUAGGUGAACCUGCGGAAGGAUCAUUCAUAAUAAAGUGUUUUAUGGCACUUUUUAAAAAUCCAUAUCCACCUUGUGUGCAAUGUUAGAUCUCGUCAAUCUUGGCGAGAUUUUUAUACAUCAACUCAUUCUUUAACUAAUUUGUCUGAAAAAUCUUAUGAAUACUUAAUUCAAAAUACAACUUUCAACAACGGAUCUCUUGGCUCUC
This 211-nucleotide unclassified non-coding RNA is filed under the name plant metagenome. RNAcentral's name for it is "partial contains small subunit ribosomal RNA, internal transcribed spacer 1, and 5.8S ribosomal RNA". The record is from RNAcentral.